GACGAACGCUGGCGGCGUGCUUAACACAUGCAAGUCGAACGGAAAGGCCCUGCUUUUGUGGGGUGCUCGAGUGUCGAACGGGUGAGUAACACGUGAGUAACCUUCCCUUUACUUUGGGAUAACUUCAGGAAACUGGGGCUAAUACCGGAUAGGAGCUCCUGCUGCAUGGUGGGGGUUGGAAAGUUUCGGCGGUUGGGGAUGGACUCGCGGCUUAUCAGCUUGUUGGUGGGGGAGUGGCUUACCAAGGCUUUGACGGGUAGCCGGCCUGAGAGGGUGACCGGCAACAUUGGGAAUGAGAUACGGCCCAGACUCCUACGGGAGGCAGAAGUGGGGAAUAUUGCACAAUGGGAGGAAGCCUGAUGCAGAAAAGAAGCGUGCGGGAUGACGGCCUUCGGGUUGUAAACCGCUUUCGCCUGUGACGAAGCGUGAGUGACGGUAAUGGGUAAAGAAGCACCGGCUAACUACGUG
This 468-nucleotide ribosomal RNA is filed under the name uncultured bacterium. Its description in RNAcentral is "partial 16S ribosomal RNA". It matches the Rfam family "Bacterial small subunit ribosomal RNA", at positions 28 to 507 of the family's 1533-position model. The record is from RNAcentral.